UGCAAGUCGAGCGGCAGCGGGAAAGUAGCUUGCUACUUUUGCCGGCGAGCGGCGGACGGGUGAGUAAUGCCUGGGAAAUUGCCCAGUCGAGGGGGAUAACAGUUGGAAACGACUGCUAAUACCGCAUACGCCCUACGGGGGAAAGCAGGGGACCUUCGGGCCUUGCGCGAUUGGAUAUGCCCAGGUGGGAUUAGCUAGUUGGUGAGGUAAUGGCUCACCAAGGCGACGAUCCCUAGCUGGUCUGAGAGGAUGAUCAGCCACACUGGAACUGAGACACGGUCCAGACUCCUACGGGAGGCAGCAGUGGGGAAUAUUGCACAAUGGGGGAAACCCUGAUGCAGCCAUGCCGCGUGUGUGAAGAAGGCCUUCGGGUUGUAAAGCACUUUCAGCGAGGAGGAAAGGUUGAUGCCUAAUACGUAUCAACUGUGACGUUACUCGCAGAAGAAGCACCGGCUAACUCCGUGCCAGCAGCCGCGGUAAUACGGGGGGUGCAAGCGUUAAUCGGAAUUACUGGGCGUAAAGCGCACGCAGGCGGUUGGAUAAGUUAGAUGUGAAAGCCCCGGGCUCAACCUGGGAAUUGCAUUUAAAACUGUCCAGCUAGAGUCUUGUAGAGGGGGGUAGAAUUCCAGGUGUAGCGGUGAAAUGCGUAGAGAUCUGGAGGAAUACCGGUGGCGAAGGCGG
Molecule: ribosomal RNA, 681 nt
Filed under: uncultured bacterium
Lineage: Bacteria
Description: bacterial SSU rRNA
Rfam family: Bacterial small subunit ribosomal RNA
Source: RNAcentral